CUGCAGAGUCCCACUGAGCAUCCAUCUCCCCUUUGCCUUUUGUGCCCAGGAUGCCCGAAGCCAGCACUAAAAUGACAAGGGUGAGGAAUAAUUUAUUUUUAAAGAGUACCUAAUUAUCUAAUUAGUGCUUGUUUGCUUUACAUAUUGUCUUGAAUACAAUCUGCUUUCCUGCUUGUUUAAUGUUGGCUGAAGUUUGACUAGUUUAAUGAAGAGAUGUGAUUUUGAUGAAAGUGGCAAUGGAAAAGUAGGGGGCAAGUGGGGUGAAGGCGGGGUGAGCCGGUGCUUUCCCUGUGCGUCUGGUGUCCUCCCAGGCUGGCUGGGGGGCAGGACACCUAAAGUGCACGGACAGCUUUUUGACAGGCAGCUAAGCCCCACUUGGGCAGAAACUGCAAAAUUAGAUGUUUGGAGGAGAUAUGCAUGAAAUAGCAAUUGUUAUUCUUUCACUUAGAUAACAAGCUUCAAAAGGCAAGGGCCAGGUCUUCCUUACUCUUUUAAGAAGAGAGGUAUAAAAGGAGGAAAUUAAGAGGAAGGGGAAGAAAAUGAAAGAAUGAAGGAAUCUUUUCUUCAGGGACUAGCAUCCAGAAUCUAUAUAAGCUAUCUACCCAGAUACUCAACCAUCAAUUAUUUCAGGAGUACGCAUGAUCCAGGCUGAUCCACAAAAUAGACUUUCUUGGUGGUCCAACAUCUUUUUAAAAAAUAAUAUGUUUUUUUCUGAUUAUUAAUAAGGUAUAACGUAUAUUAUUACUAAACCAAGGGUUGUUAAGAAUUUAAGGUCUUCUUAUAAAAGAUAAAAUAAUUGAAAAAAAUACAUGCAUAAAGAUGAAUCUAAAUGUUAGAUUGAUGAUCAUCACCCAGAGUAUCUAGAACUAAUAUUUUGAUGGAUUUCCUUGUAGGCUUUUUUCCUUUAGAAGUAUAUUUCAGCUUCCUUUCCUAAAAUGAUGGCCCUCCACCAACCAUAUCCUUUGCAAUUUAGAUGCAAGCAUUAUAUACAGAUAAAUUUAUAGGUUUUACAAAAAUAUUAUAACAUCAUCUUCCCAUUGUUUUUAAAAACUAUUCCAAAAAGACAUUUACUUUCAUUCUCCCCUUUUAUUGGACAUAUACAUUAUUUCUACUUUUUAUUCUUCUGAGUAACACAGUAAUAAACCAUCUUGUACACAUACUUCUGUCCAGAUCUCUGUUAGAAUAGCUUUCCAAGUCAGAGUACAUAUGUCACUUUCCUCAUUUACUAAAUGUAAGAUUAAAAUAAUACCUGCUUGAUGGAGUCAUUAGUGAUAUUAAACAAGAUAAUGCUUAUAAAAUUGCGGAAUAUAGUCCUUGGUGCAUAGUAGGUACUCAGUAGACAUUUCAUCUCAUUACUUUUUAAUCCUUUUAAAGGUCUGAUAGAUAACACCAAAUACACUUCCUGCACAACUUUCAACGUACGACUCUCUCUAGUGAAUUUCACCGCAUCCCCAGAGUCCCACUGCUUAAAACUUUCUUAUUUAGUUAUCCAUCUUCAGAAAACUAUUAAUGGAUACAAGAUUCAAAAGAACAGAAUCAAAUGUGAGGCCGUUGGGAGAGCCAAUAUGAAAACAGGAAUUUCGUUAUAGUACUGACUCACCAGCAUAGUCUCAUUAAUACAAAAAUGUACCAGCCGAGGUCAGACUGGUCUUGGUCCUGUCGGGCUGGACGCCCCUCUGUCUUCUUUGGCUCUGACUCUCUCAGUCACACAUUUCUCAAACCACCUCUAACAACUUCCAAACAGCCUGGCUGAAUGGUUUCGUGGGGAAAAGGGUCACCCCCCUCACCCCCGGCCCCCCAACCAGACUGCUUUUCAACCUUCUACAUCCUGUGUCCCACGAAGCAAAGUUUCUGUUUUAUUUUCAAACUCUGUUUAGUGUGGAUUCCUUCGGCUGCCCCUUCUCCGCCUUUAGCACUUUUCCUUAAUAGUCGUCUAAUCCCCAUCUUACUGUGGUUGAAACUUUUGAGCUGCAAAAUUAGCCGUUUAUAUGGGAAAAAGGAGUUGUGCCAGGGACCAUUUUUCAACAUUUAAAAAACUCCUCCAAACAUUUAAUAGUAUUUAUAUUAUUGGAUCUGUAUUUGAAAUUCUGUCAAUGAGCAGUCAGUACACAGGUAAUGCCUCUUUUUUUACAGAUUCAACAGUGUAAGUCUCAUUCUUUCUGACCCUGGCACUGUUUGUGGGGAAUAUUCACUUUUUAAGUCAGAAAAGAGAUAAUUUUAAAUCCGCCCAAGACUCCUUCCAUAUUGCCAAAUAUCCUUUAUAAAACACUAGCGACAGAAAACAGGAAGUCCUAAAGCUGUCAGUACUGCUGGAAAGAACCAGGGAAAUUGAACAAUUUAAGGUCUUCCUAGCAACAGCUACCAUGUACUGAACACACACUGUUGACGUGCUUCACCUUAUUUUACCUAUAGGCAGGUUAAGAACUGCGCAGGGUCAUGCGGUGAGCGGACUGUGCUGCCAGGAUUCACAGCUAGGCAUCUUGGCCCUUAGCCCCUAGAAUACCUGUCUCCCCCCCACCAAUGCACGUAUCUUAAUGUACAUACUUCACAUAAAAUCCUCACAUUCAUUGUAGAUGAGAACUCUUCUUGUAACAAAAAGUAAAGUGCCUCCCAAUGUCAGCGUGGCAUUGGUAUAGUCUUGGUGACUGAUAUUCCCAGGUAAUUAUGCUGGCAGCCUUUGGCUUAGGAAAAGUACAGACGAAGAGAAGAGACACCAGAGAAGUUCAGAGUUAUAAAAAAAAACACGUCGCACAUGCUGUUUGGAAAUGACCCAAACCGUUCUCAAAGGCUCCCGUCUUCCACCCUCUCCAGUUAGCACAAGCUGUCCCCUGCCACCUACUGGCCGCCCCUUCAGCCAACAAGCAGCCAGACCUCAGCGUCAAGUACAGAGUGAGCCCCAGCGGGACUGCGGGGAGAGCAACUCUGUCCUCGCCUUUGAGGAGCUGGCACGGUCUGACUGCAACCUAGUGAACGACAC
Molecule: non-coding RNA, 2977 nt
Organism: Callorhinus ursinus (northern fur seal)
Lineage: Eukaryota; Metazoa; Chordata; Mammalia; Carnivora; Otariidae
Source: RefSeq, a predicted model, not a curated record